UUUGAAAUCUGGCGUCUUCGACGUCCGAGUUGUAAUUUGAAGAAGGCGACUUUGUAGCUGGUCCUUGUCUAUGUUCCUUGGAACAGGACGUCAUAGAGGGUGAGAAUCCCGUGUGGCGAGGAUCCCAGUUAUUUGUAAAGUGCUUUCGACGAGUCGAGUUGUUUGGGAAUGCAGCUCUAAGUGGGUGGUAAAUUCCAUCUAAAGCUAAAUAUUGGCGAGAGACCGAUAGCGAACAAGUACAGUGAUGGAAAGAUGAAAAGAACUUUGAAAAGAGAGUGAAAAAGUACGUGAAAUUGUUGAAAGGGAAGGGCAUUUGAUCAGACAUGGCGUUUGCUUCGGCUUUCGCUGGGCCAGCAUCAGUUUUAGCGGUUGGAUAAAUCCUCGGGAAUGUGGCUCUGCUUCGGUAGAGUGUUAUAGCCCGUGGGAAUACAGCCAGCUGGGACUGAGGAUUGCGACUUUUGUCAAGGAUGCUGGCGUAAUGGUUAAAUGCCGCCCGUCUUGAC
RNAcentral lists this ribosomal RNA (503 nucleotides) under Kluyveromyces marxianus. RNAcentral's name for it is "eukaryotic LSU rRNA". It matches the Rfam family "Eukaryotic large subunit ribosomal RNA", at positions 114 to 658 of the family's 3401-position model. Lineage: Eukaryota; Fungi; Ascomycota; Saccharomycetes; Saccharomycetales; Saccharomycetaceae. The record is from RNAcentral.